CAACAUGCUAGCUGCUAAGGAACUCAUUAAAGAAACCAGUAUCAUUUCUAAUCGCACUAUCACCAUUAUCAAACACCAUGUCGCAAGUUUGAAUGAAAUCAUAAGAGAUAUCAACUCCAUCAUAACUGAAUCAAAUUGAUCAUGCUUCCAUCAUGAAAAGCUUUUUUAUUUAUUAGAUGUCCCAAUUCGAUGUUCUUGUAACACAGGUUAGAACAAGACAACAUAACAGGCUGUUUAAAAAGGAGUAAGGCAAAACACAUCACCCAAUUCAAAUAACAAUUCUAUCUUACAGAGUCUUAGUAAGUGUAAAACCCUCAAUUUGCCCGGGCCCAAAUAACCCCAAAAUUAAAACCCAACCUAAAUCAAGCCCAAACCCCCAGACCCAAUAAUCAAAAUAGGGUUUCAGACAAUCUGAAACCCUAGCCUAUCCUCUGCCCCCUAGCCUGCAGCUACCGCCAUUGUCACCUCACCACUUGCCACUAUUGACCUUUUGAACCUGCAAAAGAAAAUAAAAAGCAGAGACAACAGCCAAAGCAAGUGGAACAAUAGGAAUAGAGAGAAAAUCAAAUGUAAUACAUUUUUUUUCGACUAUAAAAGGCCAAGAUCUAUCAGUGUAAAAGGGGAUGGUAUUUUCGAAAGGGGAGGAACCGAUUGUAUCUUGGGAAAUGGGGGAAGUUUUUUAAAAAUUGUAACACAGAUUAAAGAAUCAAAAAAGCAAAAACAGAAGAGAGGUGGAUUUUCGAAUCUCGUUUUCUCCUUUUUUUCGUUUCGAUCAUUUUUUAUUUAUUUAUCUAUUUUUUUAUCGAUUUUAAAAAAGAAUAAAAAGAAGAAAGAGGGAACUUACCGGGGUUUCCGUGAAUGCCUCGCCGGAGAUCCUCCCUCCGCCGUCGAGUUCGAACCUGAGGAAGGUGGGGAGGUGUCUUCCUAUCUCGAUUUUUCAGACUUUGAAGGUUUGGCCUUCAAACGUGGCUCAAUCAAGGGCUGAAAAGCCUGUUUGUUGCUGUCACAACCACCGUCCACGGUGGAGGAAUGAAAGGCGAUGGCGGCGCAAAAGCUAGUGUUUCGAAACCCUAGCAGAGAAGAAAGGGGAGCCCUUUCUGUUUUUUUUGUUUGUUUGAAGCAGCAGAAUGAUCUUGAAACAAAAAAAAAUGGGGCUUUAUACAGGCACAAAACGGUGCCGUUUGGAGACCAACCUCACAGCGCCAAAACGGCGCCGUAUUGGCUGACCCGUUUUGACCCGACCCGAUUGCCCCUGGGAUACGCGUGUUUCUGUGGUGAGGGGCUAAUUACACACUUGGUCCUUCUCCUUUCGCUCUAGCUUUCAACUGGUUCCUGUUUGCGUGUUGUUUAUUUUCAAUUUUUUCCCAAAAUCUGUAUACUAUUGCAAUUUAGUCCGCAUCUCAACGUCAUGUUUUAGGACUUGGAUUAUUCCCUGUUUUAGUCCUUAUACAUUUGGGCGCAUUACAUAUGGGUCCUUUUUCAUUUAUUUUAUUUGUAGAUUAUCCCUUUUGUUUUAAUUUAAUUUUAAUUAAGUUUUUACUUCAUUUUUAUUUCAUAGUCAUUCUUUAUUCUUGAUUACUUAUUUGUAUAUAUUAAACUACCUUG
RNAcentral lists this long non-coding RNA (1605 nucleotides) under Gossypium barbadense (sea-island cotton). RNAcentral describes it as "long non-coding RNA (GBAR_LNC000138)". Lineage: Eukaryota; Viridiplantae; Streptophyta; Magnoliopsida; Malvales; Malvaceae. The record is from RNAcentral.